AUGUCCACCGGUUCGCCUGCUCA
RNAcentral lists this non-coding RNA (23 nucleotides) under Arabidopsis thaliana (thale cress). The record is from RNAcentral. Lineage: Eukaryota; Viridiplantae; Streptophyta; Magnoliopsida; Brassicales; Brassicaceae.